Molecule: long non-coding RNA, 1714 nt
Organism: Equus caballus (horse)
Lineage: Eukaryota; Metazoa; Chordata; Mammalia; Perissodactyla; Equidae
Source: Ensembl
AGGGUGCCUCACAUGUGGUUCAGGCAUGGUUCAGUUGUGGCUCACACACGGUUCAGAUGUAAUUCAGGCAUGGCUCACACGUGACUUGUGUGGGUCACAAAUGCUGCAGGAGACUUUCACACAUGAUUUAGGCAUGGCCCACACAUGGUUCAGUUGCAGCUCAGCCAAGGCUCACACGUGAUGCAGGCAAGCCACAGAACUGGGUGACACAUGUCUGAUGCAUGAUUCCAGUGAUUGUCACGCAUGGCUCCCACACAGCUGAGGUGUGGCUCAUGCAUGGCUGUGGUGCUGCUCAGGUGUGGCUCACACUUGAUUUUGGCAUGGUUGGCACGUGGUUCAGGCCUGGCAGGCAGGUGGCUCCAGUGUGGCUGACACGAGCUUCAAGUGAGGCUGGCAUGUGGUGAAAUGGUGACUGGCACAUGGUUCAGUCGUGGCUGGCAUGUAACUUCGGCAUGGCUGAGUUGAGACACAGGCGUGGCUCACACGUUUUUCUGGCAUGGCUGACACAUGACUCAGGUGAGGCAGCCAUGUGACACAGGUGUGCCUGUCACAUCACGCAGGUUUGGCUCGCACCUGGCUCAUGCAUGGCCUUCACCUCACUCAGGGCUGGGAGGUGCAUGGUUCACGCAGGGUUGUAAGGUGUUUCAGGUGUGGCUGACACAUGACACAGGCAUGGCUGACAUGUGACGCAGGCAUUCAUCGCACAUUAUCCAUGCCUGGCAGACAUGUGUUUCACGCAUGGGUUACAUGUCGUCAUGUGUGGCACACAAGUGACUCAUUCGCUGCUGACACAUGGCUCCCACCUACUCAGAUGUGGCUGGCAUGUGGCUCACACAUGGCCCAGCCAUGAUUCACGAGUGUCUGCCCUGUGGUUCACGUGUGGUUCACACCUUGAUCAUGUAUGCUUCACACGUGUUUCCCAUGUGGUUCAAGUUUAUCUCUCGUGGUUCAGUCAUGGUUCAGGUGUGGCUCACAAAAGGUUCCAGUGUAACCCAGGUGUGGCUCACACAUGGCUCUUGUGUGUGUCACCUAUUGUUGAGGAUUGUUUGAGCCGUGAUUCAGGCAUGGCUGACACGUGGUGCAGGCAUGGCUCAGCCAUGGCUCACAUGGAGUUCAGGCGAGCCUCUGACUGGGGCCAGGUGUGGCUGCCACAUGAUUCAGGAGUUUGUCACACAUGGCUGACACAUGUCUCAGGUGAGCCUCACACAUGGCUUGGGCGUGGCUCUGGCAUGGUUGGCACGUGGCUGAGGCAUGUCUGAAAGGCGAUUUAGGCAUUGCUGUCAUGUGUUUCAGGCAUGGGAUUCAGGUGUGUCGCACACGGGUUCCAGUGGUAUGUGAUACUUCGUUCAGGCCGCAGUGACACUUGCUUGCUGUGUGGCUGACACUUGGUGUGUCGCAGUUGACACAUGGCUCAGGUGUGGCUGACAUGUGGUUCAGAUGUGGGUGACAGGUGAUUCAGCUGUGGCUGGCACUUUACUGCUGCAGGCCUGACACAUGACGCAGGGAUUGCUCACACGUGACUCAGGCAUUCAUUGCACAUUAUCCAUGCGUGGCAGGCAUGUGGUCACACAUGGGAUGCGUCAUACAUGUGUUGCUCCCACCUUGCUGAAACUUGGCCCCCACAUACUGGGUUAUGGCUGGCUCGUGGCUCAUGCAGGCCUCAGCUGUGUUUCAUGUGGGGCUCAACUGAGGUUCUGGUGUGGUUCAAGAAUUG